Molecule: non-coding RNA, 110 nt
Organism: Acanthosepion pharaonis
Lineage: Eukaryota; Metazoa; Mollusca; Cephalopoda; Sepiida; Sepiidae
Source: the annotation of a GenBank genome assembly
CACCAUAUCAUGCUGAAAAGCCAGUUCCCAUAUGAUCAUUGAUGUUAAGGAACCUUGAGCUUGGUCAGUACCUAGAUGGGUGACCAUUUGGAAAUACCAGGUGCUGUAAG